RNAcentral lists this ribosomal RNA (501 nucleotides) under uncultured bacterium. RNAcentral describes it as "partial 16S ribosomal RNA". It matches the Rfam family "Bacterial small subunit ribosomal RNA", at positions 30 to 523 of the family's 1533-position model. The record is from RNAcentral.
AUUGAACGCUGGCGGCAGGCUUAACAUAUGCAAGUCGAGCGGAGAUGAGGUGCUUGCACCUUAUCUUAGCGGCGGACGGGUGAGUAAUGCUUAGGGAUCUGCCUAUUAGUGGGGGACAACAUUCCGAAAGGAAUGCUAAUACCGCAUACGUCCUACGGGAGAAAGCAGGGGAUCUUCGGACCUUGCGCUAAUAGAUGAGCCUAAGUCGGAUUAGCUAGUUGGUGGGGUAAAGGCCUACCAAGGCGACGAUCUGUAGCGGGUCUGAGAGGAUGAUCCGCCACACUGGGACUGAGACACGGCCCAGACUCCUACGGGAGGCAGCAGUGGGGAAUAUUGGACAAUGGGGGGAACCCUGAUCCAGCCAUGCCGCGUGUGUGAAGAAGGCCUUAUGGUUGUAAAGCACUUUAAGCGAGGAGGAGGCUACUGAGACUAAUACUCUUGGAUAGUGGACGUUACUCGCAGAAUAAGCACCGGCUAACUCUGUGCCAGCCGCCGCCGUAA